RNAcentral lists this long non-coding RNA (354 nucleotides) under Oncorhynchus kisutch (coho salmon). RNAcentral's name for it is "lncRNA (ENSOKIG00005029447.1)". The record is from RNAcentral. Lineage: Eukaryota; Metazoa; Chordata; Actinopteri; Salmoniformes; Salmonidae.
UAUGAGAAUUAAGGGAAAAUGAAACGUUGCUUCUUAAACAAGUGGAUUCAGGGAUGAAGUGUUGCUGGAGCUGGGCCUGCCUUAAGCUGGAUGCCACUAUAGAGGACCACACUGUGCGAAUGAGUGAUUGAUGCCAACUUCGCUUCUUAAGGGCAGUAUGGGUGUGUGUGUCCUGCUCCUGUUGCUCAGUGUGGCCCUCGGGGUCUCCAUCUCGGCCCAGGUACCACCUCCCACCCCCACAGGAGGUCCAGUCCCCACUGCCAAAUCCAAGGACCCUCCCGCCACCACCCUCCCCAAUGUUCCCUUGACAACAACCAUCGCCCCCCCCUCCUCCCCCUCAAACAACCACAGCCC